UUAAGUAGAAAAGAGCGCACGGAGGAUGCCUUGGCACUAGGAGCCGAAGAAGGACGUGACAAACGACGAAACGCUACGGGGAGCUGUAAGUAAGCAAAGAUCCGUAGAUAUCCGAAUGGGGGAACCCACCGCUUUUAAAAGGGCGGUACGCGAAAGCGAGGUAACGCAGGGAACUGAAACAUCUAAGUACCUGUAGGAAGAGAAAGAAAAAUCGAUUUCCUAAGUAGCGGCGAGCGAAAGGGAAAGAGCCCAAACCAAUAUGCUUGCAUAUUGGGGUUGUAGGACUCUCAAAAAAGCGUAUGACAAAGUAUAGUAGAACGAGCUGGAAAGUUAGACCGUAGAAGGUAAAAGUCCUGUAUACGAAAUGCUGAGUUGGCGUGAGAGAGCACCUGAGUACGGCGGAACACGAGGAAUUCCGUCGGAAUCUACCAGGACCAUCUGGUAAGGCUAAAUACUACCUAGUGACCGAUAGUGAACCAGUACCGUGAGGGAAAGGUGAAAAGAACCCCGGGAGGGGAGUGAAAGAGAACCUGAAACCGUGUGCUUACAAGUAGUCAGAGCCCUUUAGGGGGUGAUGGCGUGCCUUUUGUAGAAUGAACCGGCGAGUUACUUUAUCAUGCGAGGUUAAGUGGAAGACAUGGAGCCGAAGCGAAAGCGAGUCUUAAUAGGGCGAAAUAGUAUGAUGGAGUAGACCCGAAACCAAGUGAUCUACCCAUGGCCAGGUUGAAGUUUAGGUAACACUGAAUGGAGGACCGAACCAGGACACGUUGAAAAGUGUUUGGAUGAGCUGUGGGUAGCGGAGAAAUUCCAAUCGAACUUGGAAAUAGCUGGUUCUCUCCGAAAUAGCUUUAGGGCUAGCCUCGUUGUGAGUUUACUGGAGGUAGAGCACUGUUUGGACUAGGGGCCCAUCCCGGGUUACCGAAUUCAGACAAACUCCGAAUGCCAGAUAAAUAUCAACGGGAGUCAGACUGCGGGUGAUAAGGUUCGUAGUCGAAAGGGAAACAGCCCAGACCGCCAGCUAAGGUCCCAAAUUGUAUGUUAAGUGGAAAAGGAUGUGAUGAUGCACAGACAACCAGGAUGUUGGCUUAGAAGCAGCCACCAUUUAAAGAGUGCGUAAUAGCUCACUGGUCGAGUGACAUCGCGCCGAAAAUGUACCGGGGCUAAACAUACAACCGAAGCUGCGGAUAUAACUAAUGUUAUAUGGUAGGAGAGCGUUCUAACAUCAUAGAAGCCGAACUGGAAGGUGAGGUGGAGAGGUUAGAAGUGAGAAUGCCGGUGUGAGUAGCGAAAGAUAGGUGAGAAUCCUAUCCACCGAAAGACUAAGGUUUCCAGAGGAAGGCUCGUCCGCUCUGGGUAAGUCGGGACCUAAGGUGAAGCCGAUAGGUGAAGCCGAUGGACAACAGGUAGAAAUUCCUGUACCACCGAAUAUCGAUUGAGAGAAGUGGGGACAGAGGAGGCUAAUUGAUCGCCCUGAUGGAAUAGGGCGUCUAAGCACAAAGACUGACAAGUAGGCAAAUCCGCUUGUUGUAAAGGUUGAAGUGUGAUGGGGAGCGAAAUAUAGUAGCGAAGUCAAUGAAGCCAAACUCUCAAGAAAAGCCGCUAUCGAGAUAAGAGGUGCCCGUACCGCAAACCGACACAGGUAGUUGGGAAGAGAAUUCUAAGGUGAGCGAGAGAACCAUCGUUAAGGAACUCGGCAAAAUGACCCCGUAACUUCGGGAGAAGGGGUGCCUACGAGAGUAGGCCGCAGUGAAUAGGCCCAAGCGACUGUUUAUCAAAAACACAGGUCUCUGCAAAACCGAAAGGUGAAGUAUAGGGGCUGACGCCUGCCCGGUGCUGGAAGGUUAAGAGGAGUGCUUAGCGCAAGCGAAGGUAUGAAUUGAAGCCCCAGUAAACGGCGGCCGUAACUAUAACGGUCCUAAGGUAGCGAAAUUCCUUGUCGGGUAAGUUCCGACCCGCACGAAAGGCGUAACGAUUUGGGCACUGUCUCAACGAUGGACUCGGUGAAAUCAUAGUACCUGUGAAGAUGCAGGUUACCCGCGACAGGACGGAAAGACCCCAUGGAGCUUUACUGUAGCUUGAUAUUGAAUUUUGAUGCAGUAUGUACAGGAUAGGUAGGAGCCUAGGAAUCAUGCACGCCAGUGUAUGAGGAGGCGUUGUUGGGAUACUACCCUUGCUGUAUUGAAAUUCUAACCCUCGGCAUAGAAAACCGGGAGACAGUGUCAGGUGGGCAGUUUGACUGGGGCGGUCGCCUCCUAAAGAGUAACGGAGGCGUUCAAAGGU
RNAcentral lists this ribosomal RNA (2280 nucleotides) under human metagenome. RNAcentral describes it as "bacterial LSU rRNA". It matches the Rfam family "Bacterial large subunit ribosomal RNA", at positions 1 to 2317 of the family's 2925-position model. The record is from RNAcentral.